Molecule: non-coding RNA, 24 nt
Filed under: Gallus gallus (chicken)
Lineage: Eukaryota; Metazoa; Chordata; Aves; Galliformes; Phasianidae
Also listed under: 6 other names
Source: RNAcentral
GGUCGGGGUUUCGUACGUAGCAGA